Lupinus albus (white lupine) is the source of this 258-nucleotide non-coding RNA. Lineage: Eukaryota; Viridiplantae; Streptophyta; Magnoliopsida; Fabales; Fabaceae. The record is from the annotation of a GenBank genome assembly.
AUGUGUAUCAGUCCUCGGAUCCUCGCUUGAGCGAAAGAUUCUCGCCUGAGCGAGAAAGGAUCACCUGGGAGGGUGAAAUCUUGGACUAUACUGGAAGAUUCUCGCCUGAGCGAGAGUUUCCUCGCCUGGGCGAGAAAUGGCAAACUGGGGUUGUUGACACUGUGAGAUUCUCGCUUGAAGGGUCAGAGUUGAGUUUUUAAAAUGGGCGGGAUUUUCUCGCUCGAGCGAGAGAAAGCUCGCUUAAGCGAGAACCCGACG